This 511-nucleotide ribosomal RNA is filed under the name uncultured bacterium. RNAcentral's name for it is "bacterial SSU rRNA". It matches the Rfam family "Bacterial small subunit ribosomal RNA", at positions 895 to 1405 of the family's 1533-position model. The record is from RNAcentral.
UGAAACUCAAAGGAAUUGACGGGGGCCCGCACAAGCGGAGGAACAUGUGGCUUAAUUCGAUGAUACGCGAGGAACCUUACCUGGGCUUAAAUGUAGAGUGCAUAACGCGAAAGCGUUAUUUUCCUUCGGGACUCUUUACAAGGUGCUGCAUGGUUGUCGUCAGCUCGUGCCGUGAGGUGUCGGGUUAAGUCCCAUAACGAGCGCAACCCUUACCGUUAGUUGCCAACAGGUUAAGCUGGGGACUCUAGCGGGACUACCACCGUAAGGUGAGAGGAAGGUGGGGAUGACGUCAAAUCAGCACGGCCCUUAUGUCCAGGGCUACACACGUGUUACAAUGGUCGGUACAGCGGGAAGCUACCUGGCAACAGGUUGCCAAUCCCGAAAGCCGGUCCCAGUUCGGAUUGGAGUCUGCAACCCGACUCCAUGAAGUUGGAUUCGCUAGUAAUCGCGCAUCAGCCAUGGCGCGGUGAAUACGUUCCCGGGCCUUGUACACACCGCCUUGUCAAACCAU